UUUGGGAAGCCUGUAGCAGGACAUCACAAAAGUUGGCAUGGGUGAGGCCGCUGAUUUUAUUAAGACCUCUUUACCCCUUUUGUAAGAAAUCGAACGGUCUAACUAUUCACUUUAUUGUGAACCCUCUCAUUUAAAUAACCAAAUAUCUGUAUUUUUGAACCUCCAAGACUCUCCGGAAUCCCCAAAUAGUUCCCCAUUCCCCCCAGAGUUGUAAUACCUAAGAGAUUAUGGAUGUCCGUUCUACGAUCUGCAGGAACUUUAUGCCUAAAUUGAAUCGAUGAUUUAGAAAAAUUAAUUUGUUGUCCUGACACCUUUUC
This 317-nucleotide long non-coding RNA is filed under the name Brassica rapa (field mustard). RNAcentral's name for it is "long non-coding RNA (BRAP_LNC001268)". The record is from RNAcentral. Lineage: Eukaryota; Viridiplantae; Streptophyta; Magnoliopsida; Brassicales; Brassicaceae.